CGUGUCAAAGCGGAGGCUUCCCGCAGAGUGCGCUCUGCGCAUGUGCAAUGCCCUUUCCUUUCUGUCUGGGCGGCUUUGUCUCACGCCGCAGGGGGUUGAAGACUCCGGCGCUACCAGGUCCCCGCAGCGGAGCUGAGGGCGGGGCCGGGGCUCAGAGUGGCCUGGGAUCAGAGACAGAUCCCUUGCAGUGA
RNAcentral lists this long non-coding RNA (191 nucleotides) under Ictidomys tridecemlineatus (thirteen-lined ground squirrel). RNAcentral describes it as "lncRNA (ENSSTOG00000034426.1)". The record is from RNAcentral. Lineage: Eukaryota; Metazoa; Chordata; Mammalia; Rodentia; Sciuridae.